This 402-nucleotide ribosomal RNA is filed under the name uncultured bacterium. RNAcentral's name for it is "bacterial SSU rRNA". It matches the Rfam family "Bacterial small subunit ribosomal RNA", at positions 355 to 773 of the family's 1533-position model. The record is from RNAcentral.
UUAGGAAUUUUGUGCAAUGGGGGAAACCCUGACACAGCCACGCCGCGUGCGGGAUGAAGGCCUUCGGGUCGUAAACCGCUUUUCUCAAGGAAGACACCCGACGGUACUUGAGGAAUAAGCAACGGCUAACUACGUGCCAGCAGCCGCGGUAAUACGUAGGUUGCGAGCGUUGUCCGGAUUUACUGGGUGUAAAGCGCGCGCAGGCGGUCUCGAAAGUCCACGGUGAAAGCUCCCGGCCCAACUGGGAGAGGCCCGUGGAAACUUCGAGACUUGAAGGCGGGAGAGGCAAAUGGAAUUUCCGGUGUAGCGGUAAAAUGCGUAGAUACCGGAAGGAACACCAGUGGCGAAGGCGAUUUGCUGGCCCGCCCUUGACGCUCAGGCGCGAAAGCUAGGGGAGCAAAC